Molecule: ribosomal RNA, 254 nt
Filed under: uncultured bacterium
Lineage: Bacteria
Description: partial 16S ribosomal RNA
Rfam family: Bacterial small subunit ribosomal RNA
Source: RNAcentral
UACGAAGGGGGCUAGCGUUGUUCGGAUUUACUGGGCGUAAAGCGCACGUAGGCGGAUCUUUAAGUCAGGGGUGAAAUCCCGAGGCUCAACCUCGGAACUGCCUUUGAUACUGGAGAUCUUGAGUUCGGGAGAGGUGAGUGGAACUGCGAGUGUAGAGGUGAAAUUCGUAGAUAUUCGCAAGAACACCAGUGGCGAAGGCGGCUCACUGGCCCGAUACUGACGCUGAGGUGCGAAAGCGUGGGGAGCAAACAGGG